Bubalus bubalis (water buffalo) is the source of this 1333-nucleotide long non-coding RNA. RefSeq lists it as uncharacterized. The record is from RefSeq and is a predicted model, not a curated record. The transcript is spliced from 3 exons. Lineage: Eukaryota; Metazoa; Chordata; Mammalia; Artiodactyla; Bovidae.
GUGGCCUCCACUCCACCAGAACCCAGCUCAGCUUUGCUCUGGGUCAGCUGUGGUAGCAGUCAGAGAAGCACAGUGUCUCCAGCUCAUCAAGUCCUGGACAACAGGGAUGAAGCCAAGAACCUGAGGGUGAUCUUUUCCUAUUUAGCAGGGCAUUUCUGCAUUUCUAGCCCUCAGGAUUCUCUGUGUUGGUGUCACUGGUACUCAGUUUGCCACAACCCGAUGUUAGCAUGCUCCAUGUGCAGCUAGUGGGUGAUAGGAGGAGUCACCGAAGCUAUACCUAAACCUGGAUGGUGACCAACAACAUAACUGUACAUGGAACUGGACACAAACCACAGACAGCUACCCCAAGACCUGGAACUAAUCAGUUUCCCAGCUCAACUUGCCCUGAUAUGGAUCUUCAAAUUCCCCGGGCCCUCUCCUCCACCAGCUGCAGGAGAAUGAAGAGGAAGUUGGAUGGAAAAGAGAUGGCAGAUUCUUUACCAUCUGAGCCACCAAGGAAGUCCUUAUUUCGUUCUAAUUUUGGCUUCAGAAGAACCACCACCAUUGGAGCCAAUGCCCAAUUUCCUAAGUUCACACAUGGAAACAUAUGUUUUGUCAAUGGAGCUACAACUUGGGUUAAAGAUAUACUAACUCUGCGAGCUCAUUUGUCACCAAUGUAUCAACGAUUGAUUUAUUUACUUAUGUACCUUUUCCCCCAAAUGAUUUUAGGUGAUGUUCACAAAAUGGAUUUGUGAAUACAAAAGUAUGCGCUAGGACUGGGGACAUCACAAUUGGGGAGAAUCAAGGUGGCAGAAAAACGAUAUAGACCCAAAGGUAUUAAUGCCUGAUCGACGAAGGUACAAAUUUGGAUCUGAUGUUCCUGAUAGACAAAGCAAAAACACAAACAUGAAUCGGUUAUCAGAUCUCAGUGUUCUUGAAAAGAAAACAAAUGAGUCCCUUACGGAGGCAAAAUGUCUCCUGGUGUGUGUGUGUAUGCGCGUGUGUGUGUAUGCGUGUGUGUGACUGUACAUGUGUGUGCCUGUGUGUGCACUGCCAUUUCUUACAUCAAGCUUCUUAAGUGAUUUGAUGCACAGCGUCCUCAAGAGCUCAAGGCUCUUUCUUCUGACACCACUGUGCAUAUGCAGAGAGUCUGAUGGUGCAAAUCCAUGGCAGCGAAGGGAACGAGAUGAUAAGACACACCUCACACAGAAACUCUGGAACCCAUGGAAACCUAGAUGGACUCUGUGCCCUUUCGCAACAGGAAUGUGGAUAAGAGUUGCUGUGGAUGUGGAUAAUUGUCUUUGAAAGUGCACCAAACCUUUGGUGUUAUGGGUUGAGGGCAGACUCAGGUAUC